UACGGAGGAUGCGAGCGUUAUCCGGAUUUAUUGGGUUUAAAGGGUGCGUAGGCGGGCUUUUAAGUCAGCGGUAAAAAUUCGGGGCUCAACCCCGUCCGGCCGUUGAAACUGGGGGUCUUGAGUGGGCGAGAAGUAUGCGGAAUACGUGGUGUAGCGGUGAAAUGCAUAGAUAUCACGCAGAACUCCGAUUGCGAAGGCAGCAUACCGGCGCCCUACUGACGCUGAGGCACGAAAGCGUGGGUAUCGAACAGG
RNAcentral lists this ribosomal RNA (252 nucleotides) under uncultured bacterium. Its description in RNAcentral is "partial 16S ribosomal RNA". It matches the Rfam family "Bacterial small subunit ribosomal RNA", at positions 524 to 776 of the family's 1533-position model. The record is from RNAcentral.